This 74-nucleotide transfer RNA is filed under the name Bacteroidales bacterium KHT7. It matches the Rfam family "tRNA". From Rfam's summary of the family: Transfer RNA (tRNA) molecules are approximately 80 nucleotides in length. Their secondary structure includes four short double-helical elements and three loops (D, anti-codon, and T loops). Further hydrogen bonds mediate the characteristic L-shaped molecular structure. tRNAs have two regions of fundamental functional importance: the anti-codon, which is responsible for specific mRNA codon recognition, and the 3' end, to which the tRNAs corresponding amino acid is attached (by aminoacyl-tRNA synthetases). tRNAs cope with the degeneracy of the genetic code in two manners: having more than one tRNA (with a specific anti-codon) for a particular amino acid; and 'wobble' base-pairing, i.e. permitting non-standard base-pairing at the 3rd anti-codon position. RNAcentral also lists the same sequence under 3 other names. The record is from Rfam by way of RNAcentral. Lineage: Bacteria; Pseudomonadati; Bacteroidota; Bacteroidia; Bacteroidales.
GUGCCCAUAGUUCAGUUGGUUAGAGCGUCAGAUUGUGGUUCUGAAUGUCGUGGGUUCGAGUCCCACUGGGCACC